CCUACGGGUGGCAGCAGUAGGGAAUCUUUCACAAUGGACGAAAGCCUGAUGGAGCAACGCCGCGUGCAGGAUGAAGGCCUUCGGGUUGUAAACUGCUUUUAUAAGCGAGAAAUAUGAUGGUAACUUAUGAAUAAGGAUCGGCUAACUACGUGCCAGCAGCCGCGGUCAUACGUAGGAUCCGAGCAUUAUCCGGAGUGACUGGGGGUAAAGAGUUGCGUAGGUGGCAUAAUAAGUAGCUAGUGAAAUCUGGUGGCUAAACCAUUCAGACUAUUAGCUAAACUGUUAAGCUCGAGACCGUUAGGGGUAACUGGAAGUUCUAGUGUAGGAGUGAAAUCCGUAGAUAUUAGAAGGAACACCAAUAGCGUAGGCAGGUUGCUGGGACGGUUCUGACACUAAGGCACGAAAGCGUAGGGAGCAAACGGGAUUAGAUACCCUAGUAGUC
This 442-nucleotide ribosomal RNA is filed under the name uncultured bacterium. RNAcentral's name for it is "partial 16S ribosomal RNA". It matches the Rfam family "Bacterial small subunit ribosomal RNA", at positions 338 to 795 of the family's 1533-position model. The record is from RNAcentral.